GCGAUGGCCUCGGUUGCCCUCAGCUGAUUGAAAGGGAGUUGGGUUCAGAUCCCCGAAUCCAGAAUGGCGGAGAUGGGCACCAUGAGGCGUCCAGUGCGGUAAUGUGACUGACCCUGGAGAAGCAUGUGGGAGCCCUGGGGAGGGUUCUCUUUUUCUUUGUGAAGGGCAGGGCGCCCUGGAAUGGGUUCGCCCCGAGAGAGGGGACUGUACCUUGGAAAGCAUCGUGGUUCUGGUGGCAUCUGGUGAGCUCUGGCUGGCCCUUGAAAAUCCAGGGUAGACGGUGUAAGUCUCACGCAGGGCCAUACCCAUGUCUGCAGCAGGUCUCCGAGAUGAGCAGACUCUGGCAUGUUGGAACAAUGUAGGUAAAGGAAGUCCUCAAGCCGGAUCCAUAACUUCGGGAUAAGUAUUGGCUGUAAGGGCUGGGUCGGUUGGGCUGGGUGCGUGCCGCCGCUCGACGAGGCCCCGCUGCCCCCCCCAAGCCCCAGGAAUGCCUGUUGUGGCCCUCCCCUGCCCCAACCCGUGUGCUGCUCACUCCCUCCCCCGCCCCCUCUCUCUCUGUCCUCCCCCUCUAUGGAGGUGGUGUGUGGGGGCGGAGGGGUGGCAGUGGCCAUACAGCCCCAGUGGCAGGGCAUGAUCUCCCGUGAGGGGGUGCUGGUGGUGGUGGUGACUCUGGACACAAGCUGGGCCCUUCCCAUGGAUUGCCCCAGUUGUGGCCACCCAUGGGGAGCCCAGUGGGUGCUGGUGUGUCCUGUCUCGCUCUGCGCUGUCAUGCGUGUCAGCGUGGGCAGGGAGUGAUUGGGUCAGUGGGUGGCAGGCGGGGUGGUUCAUUCCCCCACCUCCCCCGCAGCCCCAUCUGUCUCCUGUCCCCCCCUCCGUGGAGGUGGCGGGCCGCGGGCUGGUCCCCGCCACAGGGGCCACGGUUCCAUGCAGCACCUCCGCCGGUGCUUAGCAGCCGACUUAUAGAACUGUGUGCACCAGGGGAAUCCAACUGUUUAAACAAAGCAUCGCGAAGGCCCUCGGG
Molecule: long non-coding RNA, 1021 nt
Filed under: Homo sapiens (human)
Lineage: Eukaryota; Metazoa; Chordata; Mammalia; Primates; Hominidae
Description: HSALNT0305899
Rfam family: Eukaryotic large subunit ribosomal RNA
Source: RNAcentral